AAUAAUAACCUUUUGUUUGACUUAAAUUGUGUAAAAAUUCUGGGCUCACUGACUCCUUUCUUCUAGGACUCCCUAUGGUCAAGUUGCACAGUUCAUUGAAGAGGCAUCUGAGAAAGAAGUUAAAGCUCUGGGUCCUGAAGAGCAAAGCACAGUAAUAAAAGCAUCACUUUAGAAGAGGUAUCAGAAGUCAUCUUGGCCAUCCCUGUACUGCUUUCUGGCAGCACAGAGUAGUUGCUCAUUUUAAAAGACCCUCAUGGCUCAAACUCAUGACCUUCUCCGAGGUCCCUGAAUUCCUCCACAAUAGGAUACAUGGCGAGGAAACCUCA
Molecule: long non-coding RNA, 326 nt
Organism: Phascolarctos cinereus (koala)
Lineage: Eukaryota; Metazoa; Chordata; Mammalia; Diprotodontia; Phascolarctidae
Source: Ensembl